GCAGGACCAAGCUCAUGUGCCCGCAGGGCUCUCAGCCUUACCUUCUCGCCGGACUGGGGAGCAGACCCGGCCACAUCCAUUGCUGGUGCAUCGUCUUCCUGCCCCACAGUCCUGGUCUACCUUGCAUUGAGGGUGAGAAGGACGGCGAGGAGGAGCAGGAGGCAGAGGCCACCCAGCUUCAUGUUGCCGGCUGAGGACUGGUCGGUGGUAACGCAGCCAAGACUAGAGCAGCUGACAUUUAUACUCUCCUGGAAUGGUUAAACUGGGC
RNAcentral lists this long non-coding RNA (268 nucleotides) under Sus scrofa (pig). Its description in RNAcentral is "lncRNA (ENSSSCG00065071096.1)". The record is from RNAcentral. Lineage: Eukaryota; Metazoa; Chordata; Mammalia; Artiodactyla; Suidae.